CAAUAGCGUAUAUUAAAGUUGUUGCAGUUAAAAGCUCGUAGUUGGACUUCUGGGUUGUGAUUGUGGUCCGCCUAACGGUGUGCACUGUGGUUGCGACUCUUCUUCCCGUAGUUUGGGUGGCUGCUUAGUUGUGUGCUUUUGGAAUAUGGGACCUUUACUUUGAAAAAUUAGAGUGUUCAAAGCAGGCCUUCGCUUGAAUACAUUAGCAUGGAAUAAUAGAAUAGGACUUUGGUUCUAUUUUGUUGGUUUCUAGGACCGAAGUAAUGAUUAAUAGGGACAGUUGGGGCGAUUAGUAUUUAAUUGUCAGAGGUGAAAUUCUUGGAUUUACGAAAGACGAACAACUGCGAAAGCACUUGCCAAGAGUGUUUUCAUUAAUCAAGAACGAAAGUUAGAGGAUCGAAGACGAUUAGAU
This 412-nucleotide ribosomal RNA is filed under the name uncultured eukaryote. RNAcentral describes it as "bacterial SSU rRNA". It matches the Rfam family "Eukaryotic small subunit ribosomal RNA", at positions 592 to 1013 of the family's 1831-position model. The record is from RNAcentral.